AACACAUGCAAGUCGAGCGGUAGAGAGAAGCUUGCUUCUCUUGAGAGCGGCGGACGGGUGAGUAAUGCCUAGGAAUCUGCCUGGUAGUGGGGGAUAACGUUCGGAAACGGACGCUAAUACCGCAUACGUCCUACGGGAGAAAGCAGGGGACCUUCGGGCCUUGCGCUAUCAGAUGAGCCUAGGUCGGAUUAGCUAGUUGGUGAGGUAAUGGCCUACCAAGGCAAUGACGCAUACCUGGUCUGAGAGGAUGAUCAGGCACACUGGAACUGAGACACGGUCCAGACUCCUACGGGAGGCAGCAGUGGGGAAUAUUGGACAAUGGGCGAAAGCCUGAUCCAGCCAUGCCGCGUGUGUGAAGAAGGUCUUCGGAUUGUAAAGCACUUUAAGUUGGGAGGAAGGGCAGUUACCUAAUACGUAAUUGUUUUGACGUUACCGACAGAAUAAGCACCGGCUAACUCUGUGCCAGCAGCCGCGGUAAUACAGAGGGUGCAAGCGUUAAUCGGAAUUACUGGGCGUAAAGCGCGCGUAGGUGGUUAGUUAAGUUGGAUGUGAAAUCCCC
Molecule: ribosomal RNA, 559 nt
Filed under: enrichment culture bacterium JMP-10a
Lineage: Bacteria
Description: bacterial SSU rRNA
Rfam family: Bacterial small subunit ribosomal RNA
Source: RNAcentral